This 599-nucleotide long non-coding RNA is filed under the name Citrus sinensis (sweet orange). RNAcentral's name for it is "long non-coding RNA (CSIN_LNC002029)". The record is from RNAcentral. Lineage: Eukaryota; Viridiplantae; Streptophyta; Magnoliopsida; Sapindales; Rutaceae.
UUCAUGAUAAAAUUGGCAAAAUUCUGAAGCUUGAUUCAAUCAGCACUGGCCAUCAGUGGCUAGGAGUGGAUAUGUUGAUCUUCAACACUUAUCAUUGGUGGAUCCACACUGGAAAAUCUCAAACGUGUGUCAUAUAUUUUUAACUAUACAACUAUUGUUGUGUGUGUAUAUGUACAUAUAUAUAUACACAUGCACUGUAUCAAAAACCUAAAGCAUACGUGAAAAGUUUUACAUUACAGGUUACAAGUCUGAUAAGCAGAGAGUUAACCUAUUUUUGGUUUUUGAUGGCAGAUGGGAUUACUUUCAAGUGGGAAGGAAGAUUGUUAAACAGAUGGAUCGUAUGGAAGCUCUGAAGAUAGCAUUAACAACUUGGGCUAAAUGGGUGGAUUCUAACAUUGAUUUUUCAAAAACUAAAGUCUUCUUCCAAGGAGUUGCAGCAGUUCAUGUCGAGUAAGACCGAUAUAUAUAUACACACACACACCAGCAAAGACUAUAUAUCAAAGACUCCAGCGCAAUGUUGUAAGUUUAGGCAGGUUACCAAUUAAUCGAUCUCUGUUCUUCUCCAAUUCAGUGGCAGGGAAUGGGGAGAUCCAACAGCA